This 200-nucleotide ribosomal RNA is filed under the name uncultured bacterium. RNAcentral describes it as "partial 16S ribosomal RNA". It matches the Rfam family "Bacterial small subunit ribosomal RNA", at positions 524 to 719 of the family's 1533-position model. The record is from RNAcentral.
UACGUAGGGUGCAAGCGUUUAAUCGGAAUUACUGGGCGUAAAGCGUGCGCAGGCGGUGAUGUAAGACCGAUGUGAAAUCCCCGGGACUUAACCUGGGAACUGCAUUUGUGUACUGCAUGGCUGGAGUGCGGCAGAGGGGGAUGGAAUUCCGCGUGUAGCAGUGAAAUGCGUAGAUAUGCGGAGGAACACCGAGUGGCGAA